RNAcentral lists this ribosomal RNA (481 nucleotides) under uncultured bacterium. Its description in RNAcentral is "partial 16S ribosomal RNA". It matches the Rfam family "Bacterial small subunit ribosomal RNA", at positions 28 to 507 of the family's 1533-position model. The record is from RNAcentral.
GACGAACGUUGGCGGCGUGCUUAAUACAUGCAAGUCAACUGAAGCAGUGGUAGCAAUAUCGCUGUGGAGGUGGCGCACGGGUGAGUAACACGUAGGUAAUCUGCCUUCAGGUCUGGCAUAACUCCGGGAAACCGGGGCUAAUAACAGAUGAUGCAGCGGCUCGACAUCGAGACAGUUGUUAAAGCUAUGGCGCCUGAAGAUGAGCCUGCGUCUGAUUAGCUAGUUGGCGGGGUAACGGCCCACCAAGGCAACGAUCAGUAGCUGGUCUGAGAGGAUGAUCAGCCACACUGGAACUGAGACACGGUCCAGACUCCUACGGGAGGCAGCAGUAAGGAAUAUUGCUCAAUGGGAGAAAUCCUGAAGCAGCAACGCCGCGUGAGGGACGAAGGGCUUUUGCUUGUAAACCUCUGUAGUGAGAGAAAAAAAUCCCAAUCUUUGGGACAUGAUGGUAUCUCAAAAGUAAGCCCCGGCUAACUACGUG